Molecule: unclassified non-coding RNA, 378 nt
Filed under: uncultured Simkaniaceae bacterium
Lineage: Bacteria; Pseudomonadati; Chlamydiota; Chlamydiia; Parachlamydiales; Simkaniaceae
Description: contains 16S-23S intergenic spacer region
Source: RNAcentral
UCACCGCUUACGCGGGCAGUCUCAUUAGAGUCCCCAGCUUAACCUGUUGGCAACUAAUGAUAAGGGUUGCGCACGUUGCGGGACUUAACCCAGCACCUCACGGCACGAGCUGACGACAGCCAUGCAGCACCUAUGUAGCAGUCCUUACGGAAGAUGUCAUUUCUGACACUGUCCACUACACUUCGAGCCUGGGUAAGGUUCUUCGCGUUGCAUCGAAUUAAACCACAUGCUCCACUGCUUGUGCGGGCCCCCGUCAAUUCUUUUGAGUUUCACCCUUGCGAGCGUACUCCUCAGGCGGUAUACUUAUCGCGUUAGCUUCGACACAGUCAGGGUUGAGCCCAACUACAUCAAGUAUACAUCGUUUACGGCAAGGACUAC